UACGAAAGGGGCUAGCGUUGUUCGGAAUUACUGGGCGUAAAGCGCACGUAGGCGGCCUUGUAAGAUGGGGGUGAAAUCCCCGGGCUAAACACGGGAACUGACUUCAUGACUGCAAAGCUAGAGGAUGCGAGAGGUUAGCGGAAUUCCGAGUGUAGAGGUGAAAUUCGUAGAUAUUCGGAAGAACACCAGUGGCGAAGGCGGCUAACUGGCGCAUUUCUGACGCUGAGGUGCGAAAGCGUGGGGAGCAAACAGG
RNAcentral lists this ribosomal RNA (253 nucleotides) under uncultured bacterium. RNAcentral describes it as "partial 16S ribosomal RNA". It matches the Rfam family "Bacterial small subunit ribosomal RNA", at positions 524 to 776 of the family's 1533-position model. The record is from RNAcentral.